AUGCGACUCAAGUGGCUCGGCCUCUUCCUCAGCCGCAAGCAGCAGUGUAUGCCCCUGCUCUGUCAAGCAGCAGCAACAACAGAGGCGGGGGCGGGGAAUACCAGCAGCAACAGAGGCGAGGGCGGGCGCGACCUUCGGAGGAGGGCCAACACGGAGAGGAAGACCCUGGGCUUGGAGGAGAGGUUGAGCAGGGCCAACGCGGCGAUGAAGACCCUGGGCCAGAGCAGCGACGAAGACCCAGCGCCGCGACGGCGUCCAAAAUUGUCCGCGGCGACGGCGGCCAAGGCGGACCAUAUCGAGGACCUAGUCGUCGAUUUACUGCUUCUUGGCACGAUUCAGAGGGAGGUGACGAAGAGGAAGAACUUUAGGAGCAAUCCCGCUGCUCAGGUAGGCGAGGGCACACCCAUGGCGGCUGCGCAGCUGGGCGGCGGCGCAAGGCGCCUCCGUGAAGGUCCUGCGCGUCUCCUCCGCGACGACGCAGGUCGUCUACUGCACAGGCGGCUGGGUCCUGCGACGCGCGGAGACUCUCUCUGGGUGCUGAGGAGAACGGAGGAGGAAGACGGGGGAUGGUGGCCGGAGCCGGCGACGCGCGAGCGACGGUGGAGUAGUGAGGAAGGAGACGAGGGCGUUUUUUCAAAUGAUUCAAAAGUAUAA
This 654-nucleotide ribosomal RNA is filed under the name Triticum aestivum (bread wheat). RNAcentral's name for it is "partial small subunit ribosomal RNA". Lineage: Eukaryota; Viridiplantae; Streptophyta; Magnoliopsida; Poales; Poaceae. The record is from RNAcentral.